RNAcentral lists this ribosomal RNA (422 nucleotides) under uncultured bacterium. Its description in RNAcentral is "bacterial SSU rRNA". It matches the Rfam family "Bacterial small subunit ribosomal RNA", at positions 356 to 773 of the family's 1533-position model. The record is from RNAcentral.
CGGGAAUUUUGGGCAAUGGGCGAAAGCCUGACCCAGCAACGCCGCGUGAAGGAUGAAAUCCCUCGGGAUGUAAACUUCGCAGGAAUGGGAAGAAUAAGUAGAGGCGAAUACCCUUUAUGAUGACGGUACCAUUUGUAAGCUCCGGCUAACUCCGUGCCAGCAGCCGCGGUAAUACGGGGGGAGCAAGCGUUGUUCGGAUUUACUGGGCGUAAAGGGCGCGUAGGCGGCGUGACUAGUCACUUGUGAAAUCUCCGGGCUUAACUCGGAACGGUCAAGUGAUACUGUCGUGCUAGAGUACAGAAGGGGCAACUGGAAUUCUCGGUGUAGCGGUGAAAUGCGUAGAUAUCGAGAGGAACACCUGCGGCGAAGGCGGGUUGCUGGGCUGAUACUGACGCUGAUGCGCGAAAGCCAGGGGAGCGAAC